Non-coding RNA from Chaetomium tenue, 108 nucleotides. The record is from the annotation of a GenBank genome assembly. Lineage: Eukaryota; Fungi; Ascomycota; Sordariomycetes; Sordariales; Chaetomiaceae.
GCCCGGUUAGCUCAGCUGGUUAGAGCGUCGUACUAAUAUUGUGGGGGUUCCAAAACCCUGCUAUAUCAUGUCAUGCGAAGGUCAACAGUUCAAUCCUGUUACUGGGCA